GUAGUCUCGCACAGAUGCAUAUCAAUAAGCGGAGGAAAAGAAACUAACAAGGAUUCCCUUAGUAACGGCGAGUGAAGCGGGAAGAGCUCAAAUUUGAAAUCUUCAAGGUUUUACCUUGACGAAUUGUAGUUUAAAGAAGUGUUUUCUGUUGAAGUUUUGGUAAAAGUUCUUUGGAAUAGGACAUCAUAGAGGGUGAGAAUCCCGUAUUUGACCAUUAUUUUCAGCUGUGUGAUACACUUUCAAAGAGUCGGAUUGUUUGGGAAUGCAGUCCAAAAUGGGUGGUAAAUUUCAUCUAAAGCUAAAUAUUGGCGAGAGACCGAUAGCGAACAAGUACCGUGAGGGAAAGAUGAAAAGAACUUUGAAAAGAGAGCUAAACAGUACGUGAAAUUGUCAAAAGGGAAGCGUUUGACACCAGUGUUGUUUUCUCGAAAAUCAAUUAAAAAGAGUUUGAUUUUGUUGUGUAUUGACCUUAACAGCUUGCAUUUCAAUUUUCUUGCUUUUUUUAAUGCACUUUUCGUUUAACAAGUCAACAUCAGUUUCUUUUGUUGUAAAAAGGUCAUUGGAAGGUGGCUUUCUUUUCGGAGAAAGUGUUUAUAGCCUUUGACUCCUGCAAUCGGAGAGACUGAGGUCUGCAGCGUAGAUCCUUCGGGGUUAGAUACAUUUGUGCUAAGUUAUAGCUUUUUAUAGACAACUUGUUGACUACGAUUUGUCUUGUAGCUUACUCGCUUAUGUUAUUUUACCUACGCUUAGGAUGUUGAGCGCAUGUCUCUCUCU
Molecule: ribosomal RNA, 774 nt
Filed under: uncultured Neocallimastigales
Lineage: Eukaryota; Fungi; Neocallimastigomycota; Neocallimastigomycetes; Neocallimastigales
Description: partial large subunit ribosomal RNA
Rfam family: Eukaryotic large subunit ribosomal RNA
Source: RNAcentral